UCUUCACCAGCUCUUGAUGGGGUGAGAGGAGCGACUGUCAAAGGGGUGGUUUGGUCUGCAGGACACUUGCUGUGGAAGGAGUAAGAGAAUCGAGUGUGUGAUUGGUAUUCUUGGAAAUUGGUCCAACAGUCUUUCCAGGCUCUGGCCCUUGAGCUGCCUGUUUGGCCUUGGAGACUUCUGACACAGAGCAAUUUCCCUGCUAAAAUCUUCUGCAAGGUCUUGGCAGGGCUUAAAAAAGAGUUACUUCUGCUGCUUCUGGGUGACAGAAUUGAUCCUGAUUUUGAGAGGAUGUACUACUAGGCUUUAAACUUUCCUGUCCUCUGCAAGAAGACACUUUGUUCUUUGAAAGGACAAAUGCCUUAUUCAAAUCUCUGAUGAUUAUGCUGAU
Molecule: long non-coding RNA, 388 nt
Organism: Pipra filicauda (Wire-tailed manakin)
Lineage: Eukaryota; Metazoa; Chordata; Aves; Passeriformes; Pipridae
Exons: 3
Source: RefSeq, a predicted model, not a curated record